This 386-nucleotide ribosomal RNA is filed under the name uncultured Bacteroides sp. RNAcentral describes it as "bacterial SSU rRNA". It matches the Rfam family "Bacterial small subunit ribosomal RNA", at positions 22 to 397 of the family's 1533-position model. Lineage: Bacteria; Pseudomonadati; Bacteroidota; Bacteroidia; Bacteroidales; Bacteroidaceae. The record is from RNAcentral.
GCUCAGGAUGAACGCUAGCUACAGGCUUAACACAUGCAAGUCGAGGGGCAGCAUGGUCUUAGCUUGCUAAGGCUGAUGGCGACCGGCGCACGGGUGAGUAACACGUAUCCAACCUGCCGUCUACUCUUGGCCAGCCUUCUGAAAGGAAGAUUAAUCCAGGAUGGGAUCAUGAGUUCACAUGUCCGCAUGAUUAAAGGUAUUUUCCGGUGGACGAUGGGGAUGCGUUCCAUUAGAUAGUAGGCGGGGUAACGGCCCACCUAGUCAACGAUGGAUAGGGGUUCUGAGAGGAAGGUCCCCCACAUUGGAACUGAGACACGGUCCAAACUCCUACGGGAGGCAGCAGUGAGGAAUAUUGGUCAAUGGGCGAUGGCCUGAACCAGCCAAGU